Molecule: long non-coding RNA, 222 nt
Filed under: Eucalyptus grandis
Lineage: Eukaryota; Viridiplantae; Streptophyta; Magnoliopsida; Myrtales; Myrtaceae
Description: long non-coding RNA (EGRA_LNC007116)
Source: RNAcentral
UUGACGUGGCCGCCUCUGGUUAUGUGCAGAAACUGAAAAUAUGGAUCUUAUAGACGUUGAAACAGUAUGUGCUCUUCUGCUCUUCCAACUUUGGGGAACUAUUUCCUUGGUCACUUCCUCGACCAGGAGUUAAGUUUCUGCUGUAUUACUUAGAACUAGUCUCCUAAUUGAUAAUUGGACGGUUUCAGAGUUCUAUAUGAACCAUAAGGCUUUUAAGAUUUA